CUCCUGGGGUUUCGUAGGAAUGUCUUCUUUACUCCUGAACCUAAUAUCCAAUUAAACAAUUAACCCGUCUCCAUACCUCGUCCGGUAAUGGGCGCCAAACAUUCCAUCGCCUCGAUACCCUAUCCAGUAUAAAGGUGAACCAUGUCUCUCAAACUUUUCUAUUAAGGGACUUCCCAACACCAUUCGACUAAGAUAACGUACACGGUAGGGUUCCUUAUGUACUAGGUCCGUCCGCCCUUUCCUUGGGUACUCAGUAAGUCUUUAACAUAGAGAUUUCCAUUAACAAAAUAACUAACAAUGCAAACCACUAUUUUAU
RNAcentral lists this long non-coding RNA (316 nucleotides) under Carica papaya (papaya). RNAcentral describes it as "long non-coding RNA (CPAP_LNC002043)". The record is from RNAcentral. Lineage: Eukaryota; Viridiplantae; Streptophyta; Magnoliopsida; Brassicales; Caricaceae.